UACACUCCUGCGGGAGGCAGCAGUGGGGAAUAUUGGACAAUGGGCGCAAGCCUGAUCCAGCCAUGCCGCGUGAGUGAUGAAGGCCCUAGGGUUGUAAAGCUCUUUCACCGGAGAAGAUAAUGACGGUAUCCGGAGAAGAAGCCCCGGCUAACUUCGUGCCAGCAGCCGCGGUAAUACGAAGGGGGCUAGCGUUGUUCGGAAUUACUGGGCGUAAAGCGCACGUAGGCGGAUCGAUCAGUCAGGGGUGAAAUCCCAGGGCUCAACCCUGGAACUGCCUUUGAUACUGUCGAUCUGGAGUAUGGAAGAGGUGAGUGGAAUUCCGAGUGUAGAGGUGAAAUUCGUAGAUAUUCGGAGGAACACCAGUGGCGAAGGCGGCUCACUGGUCCAUUACUGACGCUGAGGUGCGAAAGCGUGGGGAGCAAACAGGAUUAGAAACCCUGGUAGUCCCAUGAU
Molecule: ribosomal RNA, 453 nt
Filed under: uncultured organism
Description: partial 16S ribosomal RNA
Rfam family: Bacterial small subunit ribosomal RNA
Source: RNAcentral